This 253-nucleotide ribosomal RNA is filed under the name uncultured bacterium. RNAcentral's name for it is "partial 16S ribosomal RNA". It matches the Rfam family "Bacterial small subunit ribosomal RNA", at positions 524 to 776 of the family's 1533-position model. The record is from RNAcentral.
UACGUAGGUGGCAAGCGUUGUCCGGAUUUACUGGGCGUAAAGAGCGCGCAGGCGGCUGGUCAAGUCCGAUGUGAAAUCUCCCGGCUCAACUGGGAAACUGCAUCGGAAACUGAUCGGCUUGAAGGUGGGAGAGGGUAGUGGAAUUCCCGGUGUAGUGGUGAAAUGCGUAGAGAUCGGGAGGAACACCAGUAGCGAAGGCGGCCGGCUGGGCCGACCCUGACGCUGAGGCGCGAAGGCGUGGGGAGCGAACGGG